CCUUUGAUCCGCGGAUUUCCGAAUGGGACAACCCGGUACUUUGAAGAAGUAUCAUCCUGCAUUGCAGGAGGCUAACGCAGGGAACUGAAACAUCUUAGUACCUGCAGGAAAAGAAAAUAAACAAUGAUUCCCCCAGUAGUGGCGAGCGAACGGGGAAUAGCCCAAACCAUCCAUGUUACGGCAUGGGUGGGGUUGUAGGACUACGCCGUUGCAUGAAGACAUCAGAGAAGAACUUUCUGGAAAGAAAGACCAUAGAGCAUGACAGUUGCGUAUUCGAAUGUUGUCGAAGCAUAGUAGUAUCCUGAGUAGCGCGGAGCACGAGGAAUUCUGCGUGAAUCUGCCGGGACCAUCCGGUAAGGCUAAAUACUCCCGAGAGACCGAUAGCGAACCAGUACCGUGAGGGAAAGGUGAAAAGCACUUCGAACAGAAGAGUGAAAUAGUUCCUGAAACCGUGCGCCUACAAGCGGUCGGAGCUCGUUAAUGAGUGACGGCGUGCCUUUUGCAUAAUGAACCUACGAGUUACUUUUUCCGGCGAGGUUAAGGAUUUCAGAUCUGCAGCCGAAGCGAAAGCGAGUCUGAACAGGGCGUAUAGUCGGAAGGAGUAGACGCGAAACCAAGUGAUCUACCCUUGGCCAGGUUGAAGGUUAGGUAACACUAACUGGAGGACCGAACCGAUAAGCGUUGAAAAGCUUCCGGAUGAACUGAGGGUGGGGGUGAAAGGCUAAUCAAACUUGGAGAUAGCUCGUACUCCCCGAAAUGCAUUUAGGUGCAGCCUUGCGGGUUACUGAUGUGAGGUAGAGCGACUGAUAAGAUGCGAGGGCUUCACCGCCUAUCAAGUCUUGACAAACUCCGAAUGCGUGUCAGUUCUAUGUCAGGAGUGAGGGCAUGGGUGCUAAGGUCCAUGUCCUAAAGGAGAACAAUCCGGACCAACAGCUAAGGUCCCGAAAUGAAUACUAAGUUGAACUAACGAAGUCAGAUUGCUAAGACAGCUAGGAUGUUGGCUUGGAAGCAGCCAUUCAUUUAAAGAGUGCGUAACAGCUCACUAGUCGAGGAGUUUGGCGUGGAUAAUAAUCGGGCAUAAGUAUUCUACCGAAGCUUUGGGAUGAGAAAUCAUCGGUAGGGGAGCAUUCCACUCGGCGUCGAAGGUGAAGCGCGAGCUUUGCUGGAGCGUGUGGAAAAGCAAAUGUAGGUAUAAGUAACGAUAAAGGGGGCGGGAAACCCCCUCGCCGAAAGACUAAGGUUUCCUGAUCAACGCUAAUCGGAUCAGGGUUAGUCGGGUCCUAAGGCUCAGCCGAACGGCGAUGCCGAUGGCAGAAACGGUUAAUAUUCCGUUACUACCUUCAGGAGUGACGUGGAGACGCAGUAGUGACAGUGCCGCCAUCUGACGGAAUAGAUGGUUGAAGGGUGUAGGAGUCGAUCAUGGCAGGCAAAUCCACCAUGAGAUCCGAACCUGACAGUAUGCCGCGUCCUUCGGGACAAGGCAAUAGUGCGCGUAAGCAUGCUGCCGAGAAAAUCCGCUAAACUUAAUCCUGUAGGUACCCGUACCGCAAACGGACACACGUAGUCGGGUUGAAUAUACUAAGGCGCUUGAGUGAUUCACGGUUAAGGAACUAGGCAAACUGACCCUGUAACUUCGGGAUAAAGGGUCCUCGCUUAACGGCGAGGCGCAGAGAAUAGGUCCAGGCAACUGUUUAACAAAAACACAGGGCUGUGCAAAAUUGAAAGAUGAAGUAUACAGCCUGACACCUGCCCGGUGCUGGAAGGUUAAGAGGAGAUGUCAUCGCAAGAGAAGCAUUGAAUUGAAGCCCCAGUAAACGGCGGCCGUAACUAUAACGGUCCUAAGGUAGCGAAAUUCCUUGUCGGGUAAGUUCCGACCUGCACGAAUCGUGAAACGAGUUGGGCACUGUCUCAACCAGGCGCUCAGUGAAAUUGUAGUGGCGGUGAAGAUGCCGCCUACCCGCAGAAGGACGGAAAGACCCUAUAGACCUUAACUGUAAGCUGUCAUUGUUUCUUCGGUUUUAAUGCUCAGAGUAAGUGGGAGACGCUGAAGACGCCCUUUAGGGGGCGUCCGAGUCAUCAAUGAGACACCACCCUUUGAAACUGGAGGAUCUAACCCUGAGCCGUGAAUCCGGCCAGAGGACCGUGUCAGCCGGUCAGUUUUACUGGGGCGGUAUCCUCCCAAAGAGUAACGGAGGAGCGCGAAGGUGGGCUCAGCCCGGUUGGCAACCGGGUGUCGAGUGCAUGGGCAUAAGCCCGCCUAACUGUGAGACCAACAAGUCGAGCAGAUGCGAAAGCAGGCCCAAGUGAUCCGGCGGUAGAAAGUGGAAUUGCCGUCGCUCAACGGAUAAAAGGUACCUUAGGGAUAACAGGCUGAUCACGCCCAAGAGUUCAUAUCGACGGCGUGGUUUGGCACCUCGAUGUCGGCUCGUCGCAUCCUGGGGCUGGAGAAGGUCCCAAGGGUCCGGCUGUUCGCCGGUUAAAGCGGCACGCGAGCUGGGUUCAGAACGUCGCGAGACAGUUCGGUCCUCUAUCCUCUGUGGGCGUUGGAAAAUUGAGGGGUUCAGACCUUAGUACGAGAGGACCGGGUCUGACGCACCACUGGUGCAUCGGUUGUACUGUCAAGUGCAUGGCCGAGUAGCUAAGUGCGGACGGGAUAAGCGCUGAAAGCAUCUAAGCGCCAAGCCCUUCCCAAGAUGAGUUUUCCCUACAGGUUCGUGGAAGACCACCACGUUGAUAGGUCGCAGGUGUAAGUGCAGCAAUGUAUUGAGCCGAGCGAUACUAAUUACCAAUUGACUUCAUC
This 2800-nucleotide ribosomal RNA is filed under the name human gut metagenome. Its description in RNAcentral is "bacterial LSU rRNA". It matches the Rfam family "Bacterial large subunit ribosomal RNA". The record is from RNAcentral.